Molecule: transfer RNA, 64 nt
Filed under: Cambaroides dauricus
Lineage: Eukaryota; Metazoa; Arthropoda; Malacostraca; Decapoda; Cambaridae
Also listed under: 1 other name
Description: tRNA-Met
Source: RNAcentral
UAAAAGAUAAGCUAAAAAAGCUAAUGGGUUCAUACCCCAUGAAUGGGAACUUUCUCUCUUUUUA